Molecule: non-coding RNA, 73 nt
Organism: Trematomus bernacchii (emerald rockcod)
Lineage: Eukaryota; Metazoa; Chordata; Actinopteri; Perciformes; Nototheniidae
Source: the annotation of a RefSeq genome assembly
GUCAGGAUGGCCGAGUGGUCUAAGGCGCCAGACUCAAAAAUUGGAGGCGUGGGUUCAAAUCCCACUCCUGACA